AGUAACACGUGGGUAACGUGCCUCGAUGACCGGGACAACCCGAGGAAACUCGGGCUAAUACCAAAUGUGCCCUCCGGCCAUAAGGCCGCUGGGGAAAGGAAGCUUCGGCCUCCGCAUCGGGAUGGGCCCGCGGCCCAUUAGCUUGUUGGUGAGGUAACGGCUCACCAAGGCGACGAUGGGUAGCUGGUCUGAGAGGACGAUCAGCCACACUGGGACUGAGACACGGCCCAG
Molecule: ribosomal RNA, 231 nt
Filed under: uncultured bacterium
Lineage: Bacteria
Description: partial 16S ribosomal RNA
Rfam family: Bacterial small subunit ribosomal RNA
Source: RNAcentral